RNAcentral lists this ribosomal RNA (435 nucleotides) under uncultured Roseburia sp. Its description in RNAcentral is "partial 16S ribosomal RNA". It matches the Rfam family "Bacterial small subunit ribosomal RNA", at positions 341 to 792 of the family's 1533-position model. The record is from RNAcentral. Lineage: Bacteria; Bacillati; Bacillota; Clostridia; Lachnospirales; Lachnospiraceae.
ACGGAAGGCAGCAGUGGGGAAUAUUGCACAAUGGGCGAAAGCCUGAUGCAGCGACGCCGCGUGAGUGAAGAAGUAUUUCGGUAUGUAAAGCUCUAUCAGCAGGGAAGAAAAAUGACGGUACCUGACUAAGAAGCACCGGCUAAAUACGUGCCAGCAGCCGCGGUAAUACGUAUGGUGCAAGCGUUAUCCGGAUUUACUGGGUGUAAAGGGAGCGCAGGCGGUACGGCAAGUCUGAUGUGAAAGCCCGGGGCUCAACCCCGGUACUGCAUUGGAAACUGUCGAACUAGAGUGUCAGAGGGGUAAGCGGAAUUCCUAGUGUAGCGGUGAAAUGCGUAGAUAUUAGGAGGAACACCAGUGGCGAAGGCGGCUUACUGGACGAUAACUGACGCUGAGGCUCGAAAGCGUGGGGAGCAAACAGGAUUAGAUACCCUGGUA